RNAcentral lists this ribosomal RNA (524 nucleotides) under Pseudomonas sp. Its description in RNAcentral is "bacterial SSU rRNA". It matches the Rfam family "Bacterial small subunit ribosomal RNA", at positions 1 to 526 of the family's 1533-position model. The record is from RNAcentral. Lineage: Bacteria; Pseudomonadati; Pseudomonadota; Gammaproteobacteria; Pseudomonadales; Pseudomonadaceae.
UAGAGUUUGAUCAUGGCUCAGAUUGAACGCUGGCGGCAGGCCUAACACAUGCAAGUCGAGCGGAUGAGAGGAGCUUGCUCCUUGAUUUAGCGGCGGACGGGUGAGUAAUGCCUAGGAAUCUGCCUGGUAGUGGGGGAUAACGUCCGGAAACGGGCGCUAAUACCGCAUACGUCCUACGGGAGAAAGCAGGGGACCUUCGGGCCUUGCGCUAUCAGAUGAGCCUAGGUCGGAUUAGCUAGUUGGUGAGGUAAUGGCUCACCAAGGCGACGAUCCGUAACUGGUCUGAGAGGAUGAUCAGUCACACUGGAACUGAGACACGGUCCAGACUCCUACGGGAGGCAGCAGUGGGGAAUAUUGGACAAUGGGCGAAAGCCUGAUCCAGCCAUGCCGCGUGUGUGAAGAAGGUCUUCGGAUUGUAAAGCACUUUAAGUUGGGAGGAAGGGCAGUAAGCUAAUACCUUGCUGUUUUGACGUUACCGACAGAAUAAGCACCGGCUAACUUCGUGCCAGCAGCCGCGGUAAUAC